RNAcentral lists this ribosomal RNA (357 nucleotides) under Triticum aestivum (bread wheat). Its description in RNAcentral is "partial small subunit ribosomal RNA". The record is from RNAcentral. Lineage: Eukaryota; Viridiplantae; Streptophyta; Magnoliopsida; Poales; Poaceae.
AUGCCGGUCGCUCCACAACUGCAAUGUGUUGUCCAUAUGCUUCAGCAGGACACCCAAAAGCUAGAGUUGGUGAAGGUGCGACGACACAUGCUAGGCAUCAGCAACCACCUGGCGGAAGCCAUCAAAAUUCGGCCAGAUAUCCUUGAAGUGGCUUCCGCCAUCAAAAUUCGGCAAGAUAUCCUUGAAGUGGGACUGGUGAGCCCUAGGUGUGAAAAUCGUGGUGUACAGGUUAAAUCUAAUGCCAUGGGUAUUGGCACGGAAAAGCAACUAGGAUGUCAUUACCCCCAAUUCGUUGAACAGAACAAGCAGUCUAGCUGCACCAAUGUUGGUGACCAUCACUCCUUGCUCGAACUGUAG